This 124-nucleotide transfer RNA is filed under the name Metarhizium rileyi. RNAcentral's name for it is "tRNA-iMet". Lineage: Eukaryota; Fungi; Ascomycota; Sordariomycetes; Hypocreales; Clavicipitaceae. The record is from RNAcentral.
AGCAAUUUGGCGCAGUGGAAGCGCGGUUAGUACAACUUCCCUCCACAAUAGGUACCACAAAUUCUAACCCACAACAGCCGGGCUCAUAACCCGGAGGUCGUACGAUCGAAACGUACAAUUGCUA